RNAcentral lists this long non-coding RNA (2997 nucleotides) under Homo sapiens (human). Its description in RNAcentral is "HSALNT0244850". Lineage: Eukaryota; Metazoa; Chordata; Mammalia; Primates; Hominidae. The record is from RNAcentral.
GUCCUUAUAGCUCUAUGGUUCAAUGGCAUCAUACAUGACCACGGCAAAGGGGAGAGGCUGGAGCAAAGGAAACUCCUCCCUGGUUGUCUUUCUCAUCAAGGGCAGAAGCCAAAUAGACAAUCACAUCAGGACCUAGUGGACUUAAUGAUCCUCAGAAUAGUGUCAAAGAGAUAAAGGUGAAGUGCGCUAUUUUCAGCCCAGAGGGUCUCCAUUCUUUCCAGGUUCCAGCUAUAUUGGGGCAAGUUGCAUGGGAGGCGUAUUAAAGGGAACAAUCCAGUCUAUCACAAAAGGCCCUGAGAUUGGACGGCGUGGUAAGAAAAUCCAUUAAAACCGCCUCUGGCUUUGACCAUGUUUGCCUAUAAAUUAAGCUCUGGUACCUAAGCCAUUUUCUCUUUCCUGCCCUUCCAGGUUGAAGGAAGAGAAGCUAAGAGGAUGAAAUAGGAAUUCAAAGUGCAAGUCCAUCAUACCAAAGAGCUGUCUCAAUUACAUCCUGACCCCUUUUAGUAAUGUGGCCAGGGGUGUGCUUGCAGUUGGUUUAGUCCCCUGACAUUUCACCACCUCCAAGAUAGGCCUGGGACUGCUGAGACCCCAGUGGUAACCAAACCAAGGAUCCUGAGAACUUCCCAGUGCCCAAGCUGGCAAACAAAAGAACAUGAGUGUUGUUUGGGUUAGCCCACAACUAACUCCUCCAUGAGCUGCCAAACACUCAGUAUACAUUCUCGUCACCAAGAAAUGCCACUGGAAUGAAUCUGCACCAAAGCUGUUUAUGUGACUAAUGAACCUCCAUUACGUUGCAUCCAAGUAGGAGUAAAAUUUAUAUUCUACUCAAUGAAGGAGGGCUUUCUUGGGGGAGGGAAUCACAGAUGGCUGGGAAUAGAGGCGGGCAUUUAGAAAAAGCCACAUAUAUGAACAAAUACCAACACUGCAACACUGUAAAGGUAUCUUGUAUCAAGUUGGGAACUGUUUCUCCAAACCUCCACAAAAAAAAAAAAAAAUUCAAACUAGAAUACUUUCAGGGGUGGCGGGGGAGAAGGCAUCCCCUUUUCUCCUUCCAUGGUUUCAGGUACAGAAAGUUGGGGGUAGUUAUAAAAAAGGCUCCAUCACUGGUGUCUCCUAACAUAUUAUUUCUGUAUUAGUAUUAUCAGGCUUGUUAGCCAAAGACAGAUGCCGAACAAAAAGCUGAUCACAUUUCCCAAUCUUAUUUGCAAACAAGCGUUCAUUUCCUGCUUAUCAAGGCACAGUGCGGGUACUUUGUCCAUUCAAAUCAUUGUCUUAAGCCAGUGAUGCAAACCAAUGAGCAAGGUUCACCCCAGCCAGAGCCUGGACGCUCAAUGUCAUUGAACUCAAGGAGCAGAUAAUUAGUAUUGAAAGGUGUGAUUGCAGCCCAGUCGGCCAGGUAAUCAGCCCCUGAUUUCUCUUCAGGACUCUAGACCAGUUGGAAAUCUUAGCCCUAGAGGAGGCUGGAGGGAAUUAUCCUGGAAGUGUAGUAUCCCUUUUCAAAUAUAAACACCAGACAAUUACAGCAGCCAGUUAGCCCUUCCUUGCUCAGCACACUUGCGUUUCAGGCAGCGAUUGGAAGGGACCCCAGCUCUGCCCAGGCAGCUGUCUCCCAGCCUUGGCUCCCCAGGGCUCUUCCAUCAGCUCACUAACAUCUUCCAAGACUGUCGCAACCUUGAGAUGUCUCUGCAGACUGAGCCUCCUCAUCUCGGUGCUUGUUUUGCAAACAUUUGGCUGCUUCAUGGGAACCUGCCUCAACCUGAGGCCUGAGCUCUCUCUUGGCUGGGAUGGUGAAGUCUUCUUGAGAAGGGCUGAUCUCUUUUCUGAUCACUCAGAUCAGAUGGCUUGGAAGUGACAAAGUGAAAUGCAUCUCUCUGCCAUCCCUUCAAAGAUGGAAUGCCAGUUCUCCGUUCUCAGCAGCCAACAGCCAACUUUGACAUAGAACUUGGUUGAAUAUCUAAAUGGACACUCACGUCGGAGCAUAAUUUUUAGGAAAGUAGCUAAAGGUUCAAAACAGGUCCCCAGUCUCCUUUCUGACCCUGGGUGGCCCCUUCUCUCUGGACAGGGAUGUCAUCUGACAGGGAAGAUACGUAUGGAAAUGUAGUCGCCUCUAUAUCAAAGAAUGCUUUCUCCAUUUUCUUUACGGUGCUUUGCUUUAACCAAAUUCACAAUGGCUAACAUAGUUAGACAGCAAAAUAAACAUGAGUGGCCAUAAAACACUGACUCUUCCAGACUCUGAUGGAGGCUGUGCAGCCAGCUACCCGCCCCUGGACUUGGAGGGAGGGCCUAGUGUAUAAACAGAGUUUGCAUGCAAGACUCCAUGUGUUAUCAACAUAUCACAUUCAGGCUCCUGCCAACCCCACAGCAGACACAUAACUCUACAUUAUGUAAUGUGGAAAUCAGCAAGGCUUCGAGAAAAGUGGCUUUUUGUUCCUUAGAACCUAUCUUCCACCUAGGGUAGAUGUCCUCCCAGUCAAGCCAAGCAACUCUCCGUGGCCACCCCCCAGGCCAGGGGCUCACAGCUUCAGGCCACUGCUGCUCCUUCUUUCUUUUAGAAAGUGCUGAGCUUUGGAACACUGGGCAAAGGCCUUCUUGCCUUCUAAAUUAGCCUUCUCUUGCUUCCAUUACACCAUACUUUUUUCUGCCAACAUUUUAUUAUGCAAUUUUUCAAAUAUCCAGAAAAUCUGAACCACUCCUGAGAUCUAUUUUUAAGUUAUUACUCUCUCGUGAAUGGCUCUUGAAUUCUUCUCCUUUCCUCCAAGUAACAUUUUUCAAGAUACCUGUUGUGGGAAACAUGUGGCAUGGGAUGUCAGUGCCCCACAUGGCUGCUCAAGUUGUAAUCCAGGGCUUCUCUCGGUUUUCUUUCAGAGAUGAGAAGAGUCCAGGCUUCAGUUACAGACAGACCGGGGUUCUUCCUAGCUAAACUCUGGAUGUGUUUCUUUACUGCUCUGAGCUUGAGCUUGCCUUCAAAUGGUGGUGGGCAUGACAGCCAAUCCAACU